AUACUUACCUGGACGGGGUCAAUGGGUGAUCAAAAAGGCCUAUGGCCUAGAUCUGUGACCUUCAUUGCACUUUGAAGGGGUGCAGUUCUAAGGUCUGUCCAAGUGACAGAGCCUACGUCGUAAUUUGUGUCAGAGGGGGCUUGCGUUCGCGCAGCCCCUAC
Non-coding RNA from Phaseolus vulgaris (common bean), 161 nucleotides. The record is from Rfam. NCBI's taxonomy places the organism in Eukaryota, Viridiplantae, Streptophyta, Magnoliopsida, Fabales, Fabaceae.